CCUACGGGUGGCAGCAGUGGGGAAUUUUGGACAAUGGGCGAAAGCCUGAUCCAGCCAUGCCGCGUGCGGGAAGAAGGCCUUCGGGUUGUAAACCGCUUUGCGAGAAUUGCCGGUACCUGAAGAAUAAGCACCGGCUAACUACGUGCCAGCAGCCGCGGUAAUACGUAGGGUGCAAGCGUUAAUCGGAAUUACUGGGCGUAAAGCGUGCGCAGGCGGUUAUGCAAGACAGAUGUGAAAUCCCCGGGCUCAACCUGGGAACUGCAUUUGUGACUGCAUAGCUGGAGUGCGGCAGAGGGGGAUGGAAUUCCGCGUGUAGCAGUGAAAUGCGUAGAUAUGCGGAGGAACACCGAUGGCGAAGGCAAUCCCCUGGGCCUGACUGACGCUCAUGCACGAAAGCGUGGGGAGCAAACAGGAUUAGAUACCCGUGUAGUC
RNAcentral lists this ribosomal RNA (432 nucleotides) under uncultured bacterium. RNAcentral's name for it is "partial 16S ribosomal RNA". It matches the Rfam family "Bacterial small subunit ribosomal RNA", at positions 338 to 795 of the family's 1533-position model. The record is from RNAcentral.